GGGACAUACCAAGGUAAAGAAAUCGUCCUCAAGGAACUGCAAGUAGACAGAUCUUUUGGGCCCACCGAAUUUUGGAGGGGAAAGGAAUUUCUUAGUGGACUUAGGCAUCCACAUUUGGUACGGUUUCUUGGUGCCAACACACGCAAUGUCGCAGAAGGCACCUUAGGAAUAGUUACAGAAUAUAUCCCUGGUGGCAAUUUGUUUGAUUAUCUCCAAAGAAAUCAUGAAAACUUGACUCUGUCUCAGAGGUUGAAGAUAGCACUUCAAAUUUCUAAAGGUAUUGAGUACCUCCAUGGCCAGUUGAUCAUAC
Molecule: non-coding RNA, 310 nt
Organism: Camelina sativa (false flax)
Lineage: Eukaryota; Viridiplantae; Streptophyta; Magnoliopsida; Brassicales; Brassicaceae
Source: RefSeq, a predicted model, not a curated record